Molecule: ribosomal RNA, 497 nt
Filed under: uncultured bacterium
Lineage: Bacteria
Description: partial 16S ribosomal RNA
Rfam family: Bacterial small subunit ribosomal RNA
Source: RNAcentral
GAUGAAUGAUGGAGGAGGGAAGAAUACAUGCAAGUCGAGCGAACAGACGAGGAGCUUGCUCCUCUGACGUUAGCGGCGGACGGGUGAGUAACACGUGGAUAACCUACCUAUAAGACUGGGAUAACUUCGGGAAACCGGAGCUAAUACCGGAUAAUAUAUUGAACCGCAUGGUUCAAUAGUGAAAGACGGUUUUGCUGUCACUUAUAGAUGGAUCCGCGCCGCAUUAGCUAGUUGGUAAGGUAACGGCUUACCAAGGCAACGAUGCGUAGCCGACCUGAGAGGGUGAUCGGCCACACUGGAACUGAGACACGGUCCAGACUCCUACGGGAGGCAGCAGUAGGGAAUCUUCCGCAAUGGGCGAAAGCUUGACGGAGCAACGCCGCGUGAGUGAUGAAGGUCUUCGGAUCGUAAAACUCUGUUAUUAGGGAAGAACAAAUGUGUAAGUAACUAUGCACGUCUUGACGGUACCUAAUCAGAAAGCCACGGCUAACUACGUG